GAUGAACGCUGGCGGCGUGCCUAAUACAUGCAAGUCGAGCGAACGGACGAGAAGCUUGCUUCUCUGCUGUUAGCGGCGGACGGGUGAGUAACACGUGGAUAACCUACCUAUAAGACUGGGAUAACUUCGGGAAACCGGAGCUACUACCGGAUGAUAUUUUGAACCGCAUGGUUCAAAAGUGAAAGACGGUCUUGCUGUCACUUAUAGAUGGAUCCGCGCUGCAUUAGCUAGUUGGUAAGGUAACGGCUUACCAAGGCAACGAUGCAUAGCCGACCUGAGAGGGUGAUCAGCCACACUGGAACUGAGACACGGUCCAGACUCCUACGGGAGGCAGCAGUAGGGAAUCUUCCGCAAUGGGCGAAAGCCUGACGGAGCAACGCCGCGUGAGUGAUGAAGGUCUUCGGAUCGUAAAACUCUGUUAUUAGGGAAGAACAUAUGUGUAAGUAACUGUGCACAUCUUGACGGUACCUAAUCAGAAAGCCACGGCUAACUACGUG
RNAcentral lists this ribosomal RNA (497 nucleotides) under uncultured bacterium. Its description in RNAcentral is "partial 16S ribosomal RNA". It matches the Rfam family "Bacterial small subunit ribosomal RNA", at positions 28 to 507 of the family's 1533-position model. The record is from RNAcentral.